This 497-nucleotide ribosomal RNA is filed under the name uncultured bacterium. RNAcentral describes it as "partial 16S ribosomal RNA". It matches the Rfam family "Bacterial small subunit ribosomal RNA", at positions 28 to 507 of the family's 1533-position model. The record is from RNAcentral.
GAUGAACGCUGGCGGCGUGCCUAAUACAUGCCAGUCGAGCGAACGGACGAGAAGCUUGCUUCUCUGAUGUUAGCGGCGGACGGGUGAGUAACACGUGGAUAACCUACCUAUAAGACUGGGAUAACUUCGGAAAACCGGAGCUAAUACCGGAUAAUAUUUUGAACCGCAUGGUUCAAAAGUGAAAGACGGUCUUGCUGUCACUUAUAGAUGGAUCCGCGCUGCAUUAGCUAGUUGGUAAGGUAACGGCUUACCAAGGCAACGAUGCAUAGCCGACCUGAGAGGGUGAUCGGCCACACUGGAACUGAGACACGGUCCAGACUCCUACGGGAGGCAGCAGUAGGGAAUCUUCCGCAAUGGGCGAAAGCCUGACGGAGCAACGCCGCGUGAGUGAUGAAGGUCUUCGGAUCGUAAAACUCUGUUAUUAGGGAAGAACAUAUGUGUAAGUAACUGUGCACAUCUUGACGGUACCUAAUCAGAAAGCCACGGCUAACUACGUG